This is a long non-coding RNA of Cyprinus carpio (common carp), 1475 nucleotides long. The record is from Ensembl. NCBI's taxonomy places the organism in Eukaryota, Metazoa, Chordata, Actinopteri, Cypriniformes, Cyprinidae.
UAGGGAUGGGUAUCGUUAAGGUUUUAACGGUAUUAUCACCCUGGCCUUUUUUAGCACCAUGUACUUAUGUUUGAGCUACUGAGUUUGUUACAAACAACAUGAUUAUUUAAUUUAACACGCAAAAGUCUGAGUCUCGCUGUAUCGCUCAGGCUGCACUGCAGUGUCUAUUCACAGGCGCGACCCCACUACUGAUCGGCACGGGGGCUUUGACCUGCUCCGUCUCCGACCUGGGCCGGUUCACCCCUCCUUAGACGACCUGGUGGUCCCGAGCUCCCCCAGGAGCACCAUAUCGAUACCGAACUUAGCGCGGACACCCGAUCGACAUAGUCCACUGCAGCCCAGAACCCCUGAACUCAAGCGAUCCGCCAGCCUCAGCCUCCCAGCAGCUUGGAUUACAGGCGCGAUCCCGCUACUGAUCGGCACGGGGGCUUUGACCUGCUCCGUCUCCGACCUGGGCCGGUUCACCCCUCCUUAGACGACCUGGUGGUCCCGAGCUCCCCCAGGAGCACCAUAUCGAUACCGAACUUAGCGCGGACACCCGAUCGACAUAGUCCACUGCAGCCCAGAACCCCUGAACUCAAGCGAUCCGCCAGCCUCAGCCUCCCAGCAGCUUGGAUUACAGGCGCGCGCCACUGCACCCGGCGAGAGCUGUGAGCAUCAGCGCUGCUCCUCAAUCUAGUGCUCACUGCGCCCUCUAGUGCAGCACAGCAGGACACUACAGUAGACUGCCAUUAGCUGUUUUCAAAUAUGAGCAUAUUAUUAACUUAAAAUCAUAUUAUUAACUCAUCCACCUUUCAUUUGGAGCAGUUCUCAUUUAUUUUAAUACAUUUUUAUUUAAUCGUUAUUUUUAAUCUUUCUAUCUAUUUUCUAUAGCCUACCUUUGUAUUUUCUACAAGCUUGAUUAUUAAAUUGUUUGUAUUAUGUGUGUUUGUGUAGUAUCUAAAUUACAUGUGUAAAACAGGAUAGCCGAACAUAAUAAUUUACUGUAUACAAUAAUAGACUUAUCUCACAAUUCAUCAAUGAAAGCCAGUUAUGUUAUUUACCAAGGGCUGAAAAGAAAGUGUUUAUGUGUGAAAUAUCUCGAAGGCCACUUAUGAGAUGAAACCCCCAAAAUUAAUUUGUGAGAGUAAUUGAGAUUAUCUCGAGUUAAUUCUGCAUCUAGCACAUCAUGGGUCAAUACAAGAAAACACUGAAUCACUUAACUUAGGCUCAAAAGGGCUGUAUUUUGUGUUCUUUUUGUUGUUGCUGUUUCUUUAUUAUGGUAAGACAGGUCCUCAGAGAAUAAGGCAAAUACACAACGUCUGAGUCCUGCUAUGCUGCUCAGGCUGAACUUCAGCGUGUGUGUGUGUGUGUGGUUUGGAGUGGAUUUUUGUUUGUUAAUCAUUUAAAAAUUGCUAAAGGCAUUGUAUAUAUCUCCAGUCACUCCUCAGGUCCAGCAGAACUGCCUUGUUUUACAUGUCAUUUAAUCUAGUUCA